AAUCGAACCAAGUUAAUUGUCAGCUUGAUCACAGCUAUUGGUUUAGUAUCUUGGGUGCCAUGGUGUUUGGUUUGCACAGAUUGCGAGCUAACCAAAAGGCAUAUUAAUCGCUACGAACAAUUUCAGUAUCACAAACAAACUCAGGGAAGGGGGCGGAUUUGGUCCAGUUUACAAGGGUCUACAAGAAGGGAAGGAAAUAGCAGUAAAGACUAUCCAGUAGCUCAGGGCAAGGCAUAGAAGAAGUUGAAGAAUGAGAUUCUGUUGAUCUCCAAGCUCCGACAUAAAAAUCUUGCUUGGAUCAUGGGCUGUUGCGUCAAAGAAGAUGAGAAGUUACUGAUUUAUGAGUUCAUGCCAAACAGAAGCUUGGACACUCAUCUAUUUGAUCCAGCAAGGAGACCUGAGCUUGAUUGGGGCAGACGCUUCAAUAUUAUUCAGGGUAUUGCUAGAGGGCUUCUUUAUCUCCACCAUGAUUCGUAUUUGAAGGUAUUAUACAUAGAGAGUUCAGUAACAUUCUCUUGGAUGAGAACAUGAACCCCAAAAUUUCAGAUUUUGGAUUGGCACGUAUCGUUCAAGGGACACAGCAUCUAACAAAUACUCAGAAGGUUGUGG
Prunus persica (peach) is the source of this 609-nucleotide long non-coding RNA. RefSeq lists it as uncharacterized. The transcript has 4 exons. The record is from RefSeq and is a predicted model, not a curated record. Lineage: Eukaryota; Viridiplantae; Streptophyta; Magnoliopsida; Rosales; Rosaceae.